UGGGGAAUCUUGCACAAUGGGGGAAACCCUGAUGCAGCGACGCCGCGUGAGCGAUGAAGCCCUUCGGGGUGUAAAGCUCUUUCGACAGGAACGAUAAUGACGGUACCUGGAGAAGAAGCUGCGGCUAACUACGUGCCAGCAGCCGCGGUAAUACGUAGGCAGCAAGCGUUGUUCGGAAUUACUGGGCGUAAAGAGUGUGUAGGCGGUGUUCCAAGUCUGUUAUGAAAUCUCCCGGCUCAACUGGGAGGGUGCGGCGGAAACUGGAAUGCUCGAGUAUGGGAGAGGUAAGCGGAAUUCCUGGUGUAGCGGUGAAAUGCGUAGAUAUCAGGAGGAACACCCGUGGUGUAGACAGCUUACUGGACCAUCACUGACGCUGAGACACGAAAGCGUGGGUAGCAAAC
This 401-nucleotide ribosomal RNA is filed under the name uncultured bacterium. RNAcentral describes it as "bacterial SSU rRNA". It matches the Rfam family "Bacterial small subunit ribosomal RNA", at positions 355 to 773 of the family's 1533-position model. The record is from RNAcentral.